GCCUCGGGGGGGGGGGGGGGGGCUGGUCUGGCCCCACUCAUGUUAGCUGCCCUGGGGCAAAACCUGGCAGUUUGCUAACAUCCAAGCAUAACUUCCUAUCUUCAUUUGCAGCAGAUUUGUCUCUGUCCAUUGGGACAUCGAAGACACCCUCACCUAUUCUUUAAUAGAACAGUGCCUUUAAAUAAAGAGCUCUUGCCCUAAACCUUCCACAGGUACUAUAUUAUCUCUUUGUUCCGUUUAUUUGCUGGAAAAGUGCCCACUGACCAGUCCACCGUGUCCAGUCUUCUUAAGUAGCCUGUCAGCCUGUGGAGACCAAGCUGGGAGCACCGGGAGCUUAGGUGCUCAGCAAACACCCCAGACCACAGGUGUAUUCUUAGGAAGGAAAUGACAUCUCUUUGUGACCUCACGCUGUGGAGUCCCCGGCUCUGAUCUUGUAUCUGGUUGAAUGUAAGUGACCUGGUCCAUGAGCAGUGGAGGAAUUCAAAGGCAUGGCUCUGAGGAACAAGAUAACUCAUGUGAGAUAAAAAAGAAGAGGCCUCAGGACUAGGGGUGCAUUCUCAGUGUACAGACAUUUGAC
Molecule: long non-coding RNA, 577 nt
Organism: Herpailurus yagouaroundi (jaguarundi)
Lineage: Eukaryota; Metazoa; Chordata; Mammalia; Carnivora; Felidae
Exons: 3
Source: RefSeq, a predicted model, not a curated record